AGAAGAUAAGAUUGAGAACAGAAGGCU
Molecule: non-coding RNA, 27 nt
Filed under: Cricetulus griseus (Chinese hamster)
Lineage: Eukaryota; Metazoa; Chordata; Mammalia; Rodentia; Cricetidae
Source: RNAcentral